RNAcentral lists this ribosomal RNA (468 nucleotides) under uncultured bacterium. RNAcentral's name for it is "partial 16S ribosomal RNA". It matches the Rfam family "Bacterial small subunit ribosomal RNA", at positions 28 to 507 of the family's 1533-position model. The record is from RNAcentral.
GACGAACGCUGGCGGCGUGCUUAACACAUGCAAGUCGAACGGAAAGGCCCUGCUUUUGUGGGGUGCUCGAGUGGCGAACGGGUGAGUAACACGUGAGUAACCUGCCCUUGACUUUGGGAUAACUUCAGGAAACUGGGGCUAAUACCGGAUAGGAGCUCCUGCUGCAUGGUGGGGGUUGGAAAGUUUCGGCGGUUGGGGAUGGACUCGCGGCAUAUCAGCUUGUUGGUGGGGUAGUGGCUUACCAAGGCUUUGACGGGUAGCCGGCCUGAGAGGGUGACCGGCCACAUUGGGACUGAGAUACGGCCCAGACUACUACGGGAGGCAGCAGUGGGGAAUAUUGCACAAUGGGCGGAAGCCUGAUGCAGCAACGCCGCGUGCGGGAUGACGGCCUUCGGGUUGUAAACCGCUUUCGCCUGUGACGAAGCGUGAGUGACGGUAAUGGGUAAAGAAGCACCGGCUAACUACGUG